This 552-nucleotide ribosomal RNA is filed under the name uncultured bacterium. RNAcentral describes it as "partial 16S ribosomal RNA". It matches the Rfam family "Bacterial small subunit ribosomal RNA", at positions 355 to 900 of the family's 1533-position model. The record is from RNAcentral.
UGGGGAAUUUUGGACAAUGGGCGAAAGCCUGAUCCAGCAAUGCCGCGUGUGUGAAGAAGGCCUUCGGGUUGUAAAGCACUUUUGUCCGGAAAGAAAUCCUCUGGGUUAAUACCUCGGGGGGAUGACGGUACCGGAAGAAUAAGCACCGGCUAACUACGUGCCAGCAGCCGCGGUAAUACGUAGGGUGCAAGCGUUAAUCGGAAUUACUGGGCGUAAAGCGUGCGCAGGCGGUUUUGUAAGACGGAUGUGAAAUCCCCGGGCUUAACCUGGGAACUGCAUUCGUGACUGCAAGGCUAGAGUAUGGCAGAGGGGGGUAGAAUUCCACGUGUAGCAGUGAAAUGCGUAGAGAUGUGGAGGAAUACCGAUGGCGAAGGCAGCCCCCUGGGCCAAUACUGACGCUCAUGCACGAAAGCGUGGGGAGCAAACAGGAUUAGAUACCCUGGUAGUCCACGCCCUAAACGAUGUCAACUAGUUGUUGGGGAUUCAUUUCCUUAGUAACGUAGCUAACGCGUGAAGUUGACCGCCUGGGGAGUACGGUCGCAAGAUUAAAAC